Molecule: ribosomal RNA, 140 nt
Filed under: uncultured Bifidobacterium sp.
Lineage: Bacteria; Bacillati; Actinomycetota; Actinomycetes; Bifidobacteriales; Bifidobacteriaceae
Description: partial 16S ribosomal RNA
Rfam family: Bacterial small subunit ribosomal RNA
Source: RNAcentral
UGGGGAAUAUUGCGCAAUGGGGGAAACCCUGACGCAGCGACGCCGCGUGCGGGAUGACGGCCUUCGGGUUGUAAACCGCUUUUGAUUGGGAGCAAGCGCAAGUGAGUGUACCUUUCGAAUAAGGACCGGCUAACUACGUG